UUGUCAGCCCUGGAGACUGAGGUUCUUUAUCUACAAAACAGGUAGAGCAUAGGCAGCAGCAGUGCAAGUUCCCCUCACUGCCCCGCCAAUGUGCUUCACCUUGGAGUGUGAGAGGUUUGUUUAGUCUUCUCCUAGCCCACUUAAACCUUGGCCUCU
This 156-nucleotide small RNA is filed under the name Chrysemys picta bellii (western painted turtle). RNAcentral's name for it is "TUC338 (ENSCPBG00000012095.1)". The record is from RNAcentral. Lineage: Eukaryota; Metazoa; Chordata; Testudines; Emydidae.